This is a non-coding RNA of Cinara cedri, 719 nucleotides long. The record is from the annotation of a GenBank genome assembly. Lineage: Eukaryota; Metazoa; Arthropoda; Insecta; Hemiptera; Aphididae.
CGAUUAGGUACAACUAACAUUACUAAUUUACAUUCAAUUGUUUUAUGUUUUAGGUUAAGACAUCAGUCGAUCUCGAUACCAAGAGAAUCACUCGAGAUUUUUCAAAACAUUUAAAGUAAUCGAGUAAAUCUAACAAUCCAAUAUUUCGAUUUAUUUCUCUCGAUUAUUCCCAUGACUAAUUCGCAAUCGAUUCAGAGCACCAUCGUUAUGAUUUUAUUGUUAUCAUUUAAAAUUUAUAAUAAUGUUGAAUAUAGGUGAUAAAAAAUGGUUUUUUUUUCCGAAUAGUGCUGAUCGUUACAUAAAAAUAAAAACCUUUUUGGGAAUACUGAUAAUUAUACUUAAAUUGUGUAGAUGUACAUUUUCAAAUAAUAUUUUGGUUUACUUCUUGUAUAUUUUAGAUUUUAAGCGAGGUGAGGAAUGUUUUGGUUUUACAAUGAUGUUAAUUUUUUUUCUGUGAAUUACUUUACUACCAGCAAUUUUGAUCCAGUGUACAAUAAUAACACUUUCUGAAAGGAAAUUUGACUGGCGUGGUACUCUAAAAGGGUCAUUUUUUUUUCUAUGUGAUCUGAUUACACAUUUUCAAACUGAAAAUGUUGGGUUAUAACACCAUUGUAUUAUUUUUUUCUUAUAAAUUAUAAACAUAAGUAUGUCAAAAUUACAAACGGUAUAAUAGAUAGUUAGGUAAUAAUAAUUUGUAGAUGGUAAAUAGUUAUAGGAAA